RNAcentral lists this ribosomal RNA (253 nucleotides) under uncultured bacterium. Its description in RNAcentral is "partial 16S ribosomal RNA". It matches the Rfam family "Bacterial small subunit ribosomal RNA", at positions 524 to 776 of the family's 1533-position model. The record is from RNAcentral.
UACGUAGGCAGCGAGCGUUGUUCGGAGUUACUGGGCGUAAAGGGUGCGUAGGCGGUUUUCCAAGUUUGGUGUGAAAUCUCCCGGCUUAACUGGGAGGGUGCGCCGAAAACUAGGAGACUUGAGUACCGGAGAGGUAAGCGGAAUUCCUGGUGUAGCGGUGAAAUGCGUAGAGAUCAGGAGGAACACCUGUGGUGUAGACAGCUUACUGGACGGUCACUGACGCUGAGGAGCGAAAGCGUGGGUAGCAAACAGG